Molecule: long non-coding RNA, 327 nt
Filed under: Ananas comosus (pineapple)
Lineage: Eukaryota; Viridiplantae; Streptophyta; Magnoliopsida; Poales; Bromeliaceae
Description: long non-coding RNA (ACOM_LNC030909)
Source: RNAcentral
UUUUUUUUCUUUUUCAAAAUUAACCAAACCCUAAUAAAUAUAUUUUUCUUAGCGGGCGUUUGGUUCAGCGUAAAACGAGCCAAAAAAAUAUUUUUAAUAUGAAAAAUAUUUUUCCGUUUGUUUGGUUCGACAUAAAAAUAAUUAUUUUUACAGAUUUGAAAAAAAAAUUGAAGUUUUCAUUUUCUUCUGUUUUCGGCAGAAAACAAAAACUCAAGUUGCGUAAAACUUAUUUUCAUUCAUUUUUUUCACCGAACAAAACAAAUAUGAAUAUUUUUACAAUUUUAUAUUGAAUCAAAUAGACCCUUAGCCAAAUUGCACCCCCAAUCU